AGAGAUGUGUGAUGACGCAUAUCAAUAAGCGGAGGAAAAGAAACUAACAAGGAUUCCCUUAGCAACGGCGAGUGAAGCGGGAAGAGCUCAAAUUUGAAAUCUUCAAGGCUUUACCUUGACGAAUUGUAGUUUAAAGAAGUGUUUUCUGUUGGAGUUUUGGUAAAAGUUCUUUGGAAUAGGACAUCAUAGAGGGUGAGAAUCCCGUAUUUGACCAUUAUUUCCAGCUUUGUGAUACACUUUCAAAGAGUCGGAUUGUUUGGGAAUGCAGUCCAAAAUGGGUGGUAAAUUUCAUCUAAAGCUAAAUAUUGGCGAGAGACCGAUAGCGAACAAGUACCGUGAGGGAAGGAUGAAAAGAACUUUGAAAAGAGAGUUAAACAGUACGUGAAAUUGUCAAAAGGGAAGCGUUUGACACCAGUGUUGUUUUCUCGAAAAUCAAUUAAAAAUGGAUUCAUGCUAGGUAGUAUUGACUUCAUCGGCUUGCUGCUUAGUUUUGGUUCUUUUUGAUGCACUUUUCGGUUAACAAGUCAACAUCAAUUUCUUUUGUUGUAAAAGGGUAUGAGGAAGGUGGCUUUCUUUUCGGAGAAAGUGUUUAUAGCCUUGUGCCUCUGCAGUCGGAGAGAUUGAGGUCUGCAGCGUAGAUCCUUCGGGGUUAGAUACGUUUGUGCUAAGUUAUAGCUUUUCAUAGACAACUUGUUGACUAUGUUUAGUCUUGUAGCUUACUCGCUGACGCUAUUUUACCUACGCUUAGGAUGUUGAACUCUAUCACACACAG
This 772-nucleotide ribosomal RNA is filed under the name uncultured Neocallimastigales. Its description in RNAcentral is "partial large subunit ribosomal RNA". It matches the Rfam family "Eukaryotic large subunit ribosomal RNA", at positions 23 to 621 of the family's 3401-position model. The record is from RNAcentral. Lineage: Eukaryota; Fungi; Neocallimastigomycota; Neocallimastigomycetes; Neocallimastigales.